AAAGGAAUUGACGGGGGCCCGCACAAGCGGUGGAGCAUGUGGUUUAAUUCGACGCAACGCGAAGAACCUUACCAGGAUUUGACAUCCUCUGAUCACCACAGAGAUGUGGUUUUCGAUCUUCGGAUUGACAGAGAGACAGGUGGUGCAUGGUUGUCGUCAGCUCGUGUCGUGAGAUGUUGGGUUAAGUCCCGCAACGAGCGCAACCCUUAUUCUUAGUUGCCAGCAUUUCGGGUGGGCACUCUAAGGAGACUGCCGGUGACAAACCGGAGGAAGGUGGGGAUGACGUCAAAUCAUCAUGCCCUUUAUGUCCUGGGCUACACACGUGCUACAAUGGCCUGUACAGCGGGUAGCGAAGCUGCGAAGUGGAGCCAAUCCCUAAAAGCAGGUCUCAGUUCGGAUUGCAGGCUGCAACUCGCCUGCAUGAAGUAGGAAUCGCUAGUAAUCGCGGAUCAGCAUGCCGCGGUGAAUACGUUCCCGGGCCUUGUACACACCGCCCGU
Molecule: ribosomal RNA, 498 nt
Filed under: uncultured bacterium
Lineage: Bacteria
Description: bacterial SSU rRNA
Rfam family: Bacterial small subunit ribosomal RNA
Source: RNAcentral